This is a long non-coding RNA of Solea solea (common sole), 1112 nucleotides long. RefSeq lists it as uncharacterized. Lineage: Eukaryota; Metazoa; Chordata; Actinopteri; Pleuronectiformes; Soleidae. The record is from RefSeq and is a predicted model, not a curated record. The transcript has 3 exons.
UCUCCCUCCAGCCAACACUUCCGUGAUGUUACUUUGAAGAGAAGCUGCACGAGCCGUGGAACGAAAAAAAAAGACGGGGAAAAAGUGUCGCUGCUUAACUACUGAAACUGUUCCGGGACCGGGAGGAGGGAACUUGUGGCGGUAAUGCAGCAACCGCCCUAAAACCUCAAAAAAGAAGGAGGGAAAUUUAAAAAAAGAAGAGGAAAAAAAGAAAACUACCGCGGCGUGACAUCAGAAGCCGAAAAGGUGGUCGGGAGCAUCAGCUCCUGUAUAAAAACGCAGCAAGGCGCUCCAGGGUGGCGUGUUCGACCUGGUCCAGAUUGGUGGCCCGUCCAGAAUGGAACAACCUGCUUCCUGCUCACGGAGACCUGGUCGGACACGCCAUAUACAAAAGCCUAAGGCUGUCAAACAAUAGAUUGAUUUUCAUGAAGAUCUUCAAAUAGUAGGUGUCAUGGUUUAAUUCUGGGUGGCCGCCGUGUCCCCACUCUUUCUUGGCCGCUGUGCCUACAUCUAUCUGCAUUCUCCAACAUGGCCACGUUCUCAUUCUCCUACUUUCCAUCUGUCAAAUAGCGCUUUUUUUUUCUCUCUCAUUUCCAUCGUGGCCAUUAAUCUACCGUUAGCCCUAGCACGUUAAAAUGGAUCCUGGUGAUCUACAAACACAGUACCUGGCUUUGAAUGGCAGCCCUGCCAUUGCCUUUGUAUUGCCAUACGUCCCUUAAUGCAAGUAGGCCAUGAUCGCUAACUGUGCCCGCGCCUUCAUAGCCUACUUGUGUCAUUGUACGUCUGGCCUUGCGCGUAUAGUCAUUUUAUAUAGACAAACAUGGGUGCCUUCCGCGUCCAUGCACAGUAAGUGAACUAACCUGUACUUUUCUUCUAGCAUCAGUCAAGAGGAGCACCGACAUCCCGGCAUGUCCAUCUUAAUUAGAUUGCGUUUUAGUUAAGGUAAAAUUUCAAAUGUUAAGUUCAGUUUUUCUUUCUUGCUUGGCCGCUGUGCCAUUACUAUACCUGCUCUCACCUGAAUCUUGACUCUUCAUGGCCACUGUGUCAUGACUGUACUUGGUCUUGGUGUUUAUGCCAGUCUAUCAUUUCUGAUCUGUUUUUCCGUGUGCGUG